UGAAAGAAAUGGCGCUAAGCUCCACUUCUAGAUUUGGGAAACGAGCGAAAUUAAAGGAAACCGCUGCCUGCAGCCGACGCGACAUCUGGACACUGAGUGGCGCUGGCGCCGCCGCAGCGGCGGGCUGGGCGCCCCACCAGGGGCUGGCAAGUCUGAAAUCUGCAAGACAGAUAGUUGAGGCUGGAGACCCAGGGAGGAGCUGAUGCUGCAGUUUUGAGUCAAGCAGCCUGGAGAAGGAAUUGCUUCUUUGGAAAAACUGUCUUUUCACUUAAGGCCUUGGAUCCUUGGUGGGGGAGAACCUGCUUUACACCUGGGCGCCACACCUCAAGGAAGAGAGACACAGUCACUCUUCUAGACCCUUAAGAUACAUCAGUGAUGGUGGGCGGAGCAAGAUGGCGGAGGAGUAGGAGACCUGGAUUUCGUCUGGUCUCAGGAAUUCAGCUGGAUAGGGAUCAAGCCAUUCUGAACACCUACAAACUCAACAGGAGAUCGAAGAAAAGAAUAGCAACAACCCUCUCAUCAGAAAAGCGACCACUUUCUGGAAGGCAAUUUAUAGCACUGAUCUAUCAGAACCUCUCAUGGACUUAGUCAAUGUGAAGUUGAUUUUUCCUGCAGGGAGAAGCUGGAGCUGUCCUGUGAGAAGCUGAGGCAAGGAGAAGCUGGAGGUAGAACUGGGGAGGGCUUGAAUGAGUUGGCCCGUGAAAUUUAGAUCCUUGUUUUCUAAAACACUCUUUCCCUGAGGUUUGAGGGACUGGAAGAAAGCUCUACGUGUGGGUAGAAUGUCCUAGGGUAGCUGUUCACAAAGAAAUUGAUUGCGGCAAACUCCUACUUGUUAGAAUUUCCUAAUUCUCUGAAAAUAUUCUUUAUACUCAACCUUCUAAAAAUUCUUAAUGGCACAUUGAAGAGCAGAGGUUGACAAAGUUUUUCUCUAAAGGGCCUGAUAGGAAAUUGUUUAGCUUCUGUGAGCCCAUAUGGUUUCUUUCACGGGGCUCUUCAGCUCUGCUGUCCAUAGCACCAAAGCUGCCACAGAUAAUACAGAAAUGAAUGAGAAUGUCUGAACGCCGAUACAACUUUAUUUGCAAAGACAGUCAGCGGGACAGAUAGGACACAAGGGUCCUAGUUUGCUGACCCCUGGUACAUGGAAAAAAUUCAUUUGGAGCUUGAUGAUGGCUCUUUCACUCUAGCUGGGUAUUUUGGGAGAAGAUACUUAUUUUAGAUUUAUAUAGCUUCAUUAUCUGUAAAAUGGGGAUAAAAAACCUACUUCAUGAGGUUGUUAUGAAGAUGAAGUUAAGUAGCUAACUAUAGCAAACUGGCCUGCUUUUUAAAAAAUUAGAUUUGUUUUUUAUUGUAGAGCACACAUAUCACGGCAAAGUGCUGCACAUAUAACUGCAAAUCAUUUUUGGGAAAAAAGCUGUAAAAAAAACCAAAACCAAAACAAACACCGCAACUGCUUUGGUUAUGUAGUCCCGUCCUGAAUCCAUGCUGGUAAAGGAAUUCUGGCCCCUGAAAGGGGCCUCUUAUGGUGGCUGCCCCAGAUUUCUGCAGCCUCAGACCUGGGCCUCUGUAAGACAAGGGCCCCUGGGCUGGUGGCAGCCUGGGGACUGGGAGGGCCUCUGCCCUCUGCAGGCUGGGGGUCUUGGCCCUGACUGGCUGGCAAGGAGACAUUCCUAAUGAAUCUAGAUCAUCAAAACCUUGCAGCCUUAUACGAUCUGAGUAGGUGGCAACUGCCAGAGACUUCAUUGUUUGUUCCUUUUGUUAUCUCUUAAAAGCCCCUUCCCCAGCUCCCAUGCCCCUGAGGCAGAGAAGGCCCCAACCCAGUCUGCAGUCCUGAGCUCUGGCCUUGGAUUCAUGCUCUAGGCAGACAGAGGGGGUGGGUGGGUGCCUUCCUAUGGGGAUGAUUGGAGAGAAGGCCCAAGCUGGCCAAUGUAGGAGAAAGGAAAGGGUAAGGAAAAAGCCAGGAGACCUGUAAUUAUUAUUAUCAUCAUUCUAGCAUUAUUACUUUAAUUUCUUUUAGGGUUUUUUUGUUGUUGUUGGUGGUGGUUAUUUAGUCUAGCUUAUGUAUUUACAGUAAACCAAUAAGUGCUGUGGAGGGCAGCUGAAACUGGGUUUUGCUGGUUCACCAUUGAAGAUUCUUCUGCUGGAAUUAGAAAAUUGUUUUAGAGAGGGUUGGUGCUUAUUUCAUACUAAUUGAGCUAAUACCAUUCUCUCUUAGGCUUAGGUUUUGUACUUCAAGCCCUUUUUAAAAGAAUUGUGCAGACAUGGGCGCAUCUGUUUGCUUUACUUCUUUAUUUUCCUUGUUGGGUAAUCACGCCUAUGUUGAUUGGCAUCAAACACAGAUCUCACCUAUCCCCAUGGCAGUAAGCUUCCACUGACUUGAAUUGAGACCAGCCCUGGUGGCCCUGUGAGUGGGAGAGUCUGGGUGUGUCUAGCUUGGGCUGUGGCACCAGGAGAGGGUGGAUACACCUGUUCUACUUGAGUAAAUUGGCACCAAUAUAGUGGUGCUUCUCUGUGUAUUUGCCUUGGUAAAAGGUCACUGGCUGAUUUGAGCUGUUAGGUUGUGCCCCACAUCCUCUGCGUAUGACACUGACUUUCUUUUGGUGGCAAUUCUGCCUUAUUUCUAGAGGUGCGUUUGACUUACAGAAGGAAGACUCUGGCUUUUUGUAUUUCUAAAUUUCCCUAGAAGUAGACAAGGCUAUCACAUCUGAGGGUCUUGAGUCAUUGUAGAGAGCUUACCUAAAGAGAAUUUUUCACCGAGGGAGAAAAUUAUACAAUCACAAUAAAGCAGAAGCCACAGGGCCUGGGUUGUUGACUUACUAUAAAUGUAAGGGCUACAGUUAACAGGAAACUUUCAGUUUCUGCUAUUGGAAGGGGUGGUCAGUCCCUUUCUUUUAUUAAGCCCCCUUUCCCUCUUCUCCUUUUUUCUUUUUUUCUUUUUUUCCUUGUAAUGAAAAGUAAAGACAAAUAACAACAGAUCUGCCUUGGGCAGCUGGUAUGGGGAUAGGAUAUCAACUUAAUAAUAGAAGUUGGGUCAAAAUGUACUUUUAUCUCUUUGCACUGAAAUUAGAGUGUGCAUGGGCUAAUUGGAUUGAGGUCUUUAAACAUGUGUUAGCUUGCAAAAGUAGCUACAGAGAAAAGGCCCAAAACAACCUAAUAAUAUUUAGGGAAAAUAUUAAAAAUCUUCACACCCUGCACUUCAAGAUAAAAUGUGUUUUUUGUAGGUGAAAUAACAAUCCAAACACCCCCAAAAUUUUAAAUUAAAAAUCCACUUUAAAUCAUAAUUCUGGAGGUAUGACAUAAUAGUGAUAAAGAGUGCAUCAUAUCUCAUACUUUAUUAACAUAUUUGUGCCAUUUUCUGCUUUUACUUAACUUUUAGAAGAAGUCUUUAAAUUGUAUCCAAUACCAAGGCAAGUUUAUAGCCUAAAUUCUUUCCUCCUAGCUGUUUUCUUUCACUUCUAUAUGUAUGGAAAUGUUUCUCUCCUAGAGCUACAUCAUUCUCUUAAAAUUGCUAUAUGAGAGAGUCUAUGGUUUAUUUAUACUUCUCUAUUAAAUAUUAUUUAGCUGGUUAAAUUAGUUUACUUAGGAAGGUUUGGGGUUGCAUGCUCAUGACAAAGUUAGGAGUAAUACGUUGAUUUAAUGGAGGGUGUUUUCUUCUGUAACUCCUCUGCCUUCUUGCAUACUUUUGGGAAUGACCUAAUGAAACAAGCCCAAAAUGCCAUUGAAAAGGUAUUUUAGGUGCUUAUACCUCCCUUUCCAGGUCUAUUUCCAUGGCUUUAGCUGCAUCAGAGACCCAGCAGUAUAGGGUCAAUUCGACAUUCAGCAGAAACUACUGUUAUGGCUGGAUUCUGGUCAGACAAGUUGCCAGGAACCCAACUGUGGGAUGGGAUCAUCCACACUCUCGCAUCAACAUACCCAUUUGACCUUAGCUCCUUUUUCUCUCUCCCUCUCCCUUGAUUAAUCUCAUAUAAUUAUGUGUGUACGUGUCUGAGGGCAGGGACCAUGCCUUAUUCAUCUUUGUAUUAUUCAAGGGCCUGGCCCACAGUGGUUGCUUAAGAAAUGGGUGUUAGAGAAAUAUUUACAGGUAUGCUGGAAAUUCUCAUUCAGAUUCCGGUAUCCCCGACAACUGAUUUCCAGCUUUCUGGAUAGGAUAAAACAGAAUCUUUGGGCUUUAGGUACAUACUAUCUUUUGAGAACUGCCCUGUGAGUUCAGAAUCCCCCGCGAUUGUCCAGUAUUAACCUCACUUCUGUCAGUAGCCAUGUCUCAAUGCUAAGUGACUCUUAGCCUGGCAUGUUUUGGCAAGAAAGAACUCUCUACCUGGUUUGCCUAAUCUACACUGGCUUCUAGUUUCAACAAGAAUUAUUUACAUGCAUUUAAUUUUAGCUCUUGGGCUAUAACAUGUCAUUGUUCUUUUUACGUACCUCCUCCCCUCGCUUUUGGAAUCAGGACAGGAAUCUUCAAUUCUUGUUGUUCCUGUUUGGUGUGCUUGUAGAUGGAGUUUAGCUUUGUCCUUCAGCUCUCAUGGCACUCCAAGAUAUUUUUGAGUCAUGUUUCCUGUAUAAGAAAAUAUAGACUAUGUCAUCACAAAAGGGAAAUGGAGAUUGGGGGGCAUUAUUUAAAUCAUUCAGGGAUCUCAUAUCCUGGCUUGAAGGAAAAUUAAAGCAAUGCAUUUGGAUUAAUUUAUCUCCUUGGAUUGUUCUUCUCUAGUCAACUGACAGGAUAAUGCAUUCAGAUUUUAUUCAAUUUUAUCUGUCACUGUCACGGUGAAUCUAGAAGAAAAAAAAUGUAGUUGAGACUUAGUUUUUAUAAAAAGUCAUUGUUAGUAGAAUUACCUUUAUUUUUUCCCGUAUUUAGAAGAGAAUGAACAUCCUAGGAAAAUAAUAAUGAGCUUUGGGCGAAACAAUGUUUUGCUCAGUACACCAUGAAAUGGAAAGUCCUCAAGCUUGCAGAAGUGCUCUGAAAAGUCUCUUGGACAACUCUGUAUAGUACUUACACAAUCAUAUUUCUUAAUGACUUUCUAUAAACAGUUUCUUUUGACAAGAAGCAUACAGUCAUAAAAAUAGAUAACUUUGGUAGAAAAGACAUUAAUGGUUUCUUACUUCUAGACUAUGACAGACAUAAAGUGACAGAUUUCUUUAGUAGUUUUCCUGUCAAUUGUGGAGGACACAGGAAAUGCAACACAGGGUAGGAGGUAUCAGUUCGCCACCUAGAGGACAUAUGUGGAAUUCCACAUUUCUCCAAACAGCUUCAGUGGGAUUCAUUCAUUCAUUUAUUCAUUCAUUCACUCACUCAUUCAUUCAUUCAGUUAUUUAUUUAUUUAAAAAUAGUUAAGUACUUAUUAGGCUUUGUUGUACCAGUGCAGAUUUGAUAAUCUAACGAGGAGCUAUGAGCUCAAAAAAGCAUUAAGUGUCUCUUAUUUUGAUUGCACAGCUGCCUCUUUAUUUAUUUAUUUGAAGAUUUAUUUAUCUGUUUUAGAGAGAGCAGAGUGGGAGCAGGGAGGAGAAGGAGAGGGAGAGAGAAUCUUAAGCAGACUCCCCACUGAGUGUGGAAAUCUGACUGAAAAGGCAUCAUCAUAACCAGAGCCGAAAUCAAGAGUCAGAUGCUUAACUGACUGAGCCACCCAGGUGCCCCACGGCUGCCUCUCUUUAAAAUCUUCUAUUUUUAGGGGGCCUGGAUGGCUCAGUCGUUAAGUGUCUGCCUUUGGCUCAAUGUCCCAGGGUCCUGGGAUCGAGCCCCGCAUAGCAUCGGGCUCCCUGCUCGGCGGGAAGCCUGCUUCUCCCUCUGCCACUCCCCCUGCUUGUGUUCCUGCUCUUGCUAUCUCUGUCUCUGUCAAAUAAAUAAAUAAGAUCUUUUAUUUUUAAAAGACUGUAGCUCAAAUAUCUGGAGAAUUCUAAAUAUCCAUAUUUGCGAUGUCUAUUACUUUUAGCUCUUGGGCUAUAAUAAAGCCUUAUUGCUUUUUAUUUGUUCCAACCCUUUGCAGUGUAACUAUUAGGGUCUUCUCUAUACAAAUUGGGAAAUGGAGUCUCAGAGAAAUUAAAUAACAAGUUUCAGGUGUCACAGCUACUUCAUAAUAGUGCCACUGUCUGAACCCAUGCCAGUCUAAUACCAGAGCCAUCACCCUGCUCAGUUCUGGUCUAGUCCAGAUGCUCACAAACAGCCAGACCGCAGCUGGGGGUGUGGACAGUGCUUACAGGUUGAAAGGAGAUCAUGGCCAGUAGCAAGUUCAUAAAGCAGGCUUGGGAGGAGCUUGAUGAAGCCAACCAACUGGGCAGCGUCUACUAAAGAUGGUAGGAUUGUUCAUGGGUAUGAAUUCCUUGUACCCAGAGGAAUGAACUCCACAAUUUCCCUGAGUUAGUCCAGUCCUGGCAAGAGUAGACAGAGGGCUGGGGGCAGUUGGUGUGCGUGAGUGCCUCCUCCUAACAUCAUCAACCACCACAUCUCAUGGGAUACAGAGACGUACAAUUUAUAAAUUAAUGCAACCUAAAACUCCUGCGGUCUGAUUCAUUUUAAUUGUCAUUUCUGUCAAGCACACAGGGCCAUGAGCAUACUCCUUAGGUAGAGGAGGAAACUGAACUACUCAAGAGGUUCCCUGAAUUCCAAGACCACCAGGUGUGAUCCUGAAGAUUUGUCACUACGGUGGACAAAAGUGUAAUGCACUGUGGAAAUUGUCAAGCUGUUGGGUUCCUACUGUAAACCAGUUUUUAAAGUGAAGAAAACUCUGAUCAACCUCGAGUUUGUUUAUGGAGAGGACUUUGCCCAGCUGCACCCAGAAAGCUUGAGAAUGCCAGACAAGCAUAACCCUGAGACAAUUUUUCUUUGCCAGGAAAAUUUGCUGAAAAAGGAACAUUAAAAUCUGUUUAAUUCUACUGCAUGGACAUGUGAUAAUGUGCAUGGUGACCUUCUAUUGUAAACUUGAAAGACUUAACCUUUCUGCAUCUAUUACUGAGGGACAAAGGAGAACAUUUUCUUAGAGCUUUGAACUACUUCAGUGGAAAUCUGACUGAAAAAGGCAACACCAAGGACUGUAUCUUACUUAUUUUCUAUCUUUCUCUGCAUCUAACAAUUUUUUCGAGGAUUAAUAAAGGGUGCUGCUUUUUAUUUAGAUUCCAGAUAUUAUUAUUCAAUAGAUUUUAAUUAUUUUAAAGACAUUUGGAAGAGUUUACAUUAAAACAUUGAAUCAAUUUGACUUACAUU
This is a long non-coding RNA of Mirounga angustirostris (Northern elephant seal), 7189 nucleotides long. RefSeq lists it as uncharacterized. The record is from RefSeq and is a predicted model, not a curated record. NCBI's taxonomy places the organism in Eukaryota, Metazoa, Chordata, Mammalia, Carnivora, Phocidae. The transcript has 7 exons.